Molecule: long non-coding RNA, 270 nt
Filed under: Ananas comosus (pineapple)
Lineage: Eukaryota; Viridiplantae; Streptophyta; Magnoliopsida; Poales; Bromeliaceae
Description: long non-coding RNA (ACOM_LNC042285)
Source: RNAcentral
UUACAUGUUUGGACGAUUUUUGGUGCUUGAAUUUUAUUUGUUUAAAAUUGAUUUGAGGAAAGGUGUUUGAAAAUUUUUAAAUUUUUUUUUGAGAAAGGAGAUGAUUGAAAAUCUUUAUUUUGGGGAGAUUGAAAUUUUUCAAAGUAUCUUAACCGAAAUUCAUCUUGAAUUAAAUUCAUAUUAAUUAUCGAUUUUACUCAAUUUUUUAUUAUUUUGACGAUAAUUGAUUAUAUGAAUUCUUAAUACAAAUAUUUAUCAAAAUUAUGAAAU